AGUGAACGCUGGCGGUAGGCCUAACACAUGCAAGUCGAACGGCAGCACAGUAAGAGCUUGCUCUUACGGGUGGCGAGUGGCGGACGGGUGAGGAAUACAUCGGAAUCUACUUUUUCGUGGGGGAUAACGUAGGGAAACUUACGCUAAUACCGCAUACGACCUACGGGUGAAAGCAGGGGAUCUUCGGACCUUGCGCGAUUGAAUGAGCCGAUGUCGGAUUAGCUAGUUGGCGGGGUAAAGGCCCACCAAGGCGACGAUCCGUAGCUGGUCUGAGAGGAUGAUCAGCCACACUGGAACUGAGACACGGCCCAGACUCCUACGGGAGGCAGCAGUGGGGAAUAUUGGACAAUGGGCGCAAGCCUGAUCCAGCCAUACUGCGUGGGUGAAGAAGGCCUUCGGGUUGUAAAGCCCUUUUGUUGGGAAAGAAAAGCAGCAGGUUAAUACCCCGCUGUUCUGACGGUACCCAAAGAAUAAGCACCGGCUAACUUCGUG
This 492-nucleotide ribosomal RNA is filed under the name uncultured bacterium. RNAcentral's name for it is "partial 16S ribosomal RNA". It matches the Rfam family "Bacterial small subunit ribosomal RNA", at positions 29 to 507 of the family's 1533-position model. The record is from RNAcentral.